CCCUUAGAUGUUCUGGGCCGCACGCGUGCUACACUGAGUGGAUCAGCGGGUCAGGUUGCGCGAAAGCGUUUCCUAAUCUUUAAAUCCGCUCGUGAUGGGGAUUGACGGUUGCAAUUUUCUGUCAUGAACGAGGAAUACCUUGUAAGCGCGGGUCAUCAUCCCGCGCUGAAUACGUCCCUGCCCUUUGUACACACCGCCCGUCGCUCCUACCGAUUGAGUGGUCCGGUGAGGCUUUGGGAUCUGAGCGGAAAGAGCGUUUCGCUGUUUCUGCUCGGAAAACUCAGUCGUACCUUAUCAUUUAGAGGAAGGAGAAGUCGUAACA
This 322-nucleotide ribosomal RNA is filed under the name uncultured eukaryote. RNAcentral's name for it is "partial 18S ribosomal RNA". It matches the Rfam family "Eukaryotic small subunit ribosomal RNA", at positions 1470 to 1796 of the family's 1831-position model. The record is from RNAcentral.